RNAcentral lists this non-coding RNA (29 nucleotides) under Bombyx mori (domestic silkworm). Lineage: Eukaryota; Metazoa; Arthropoda; Insecta; Lepidoptera; Bombycidae. The record is from RNAcentral.
UACAGGAAUGUUGUGAUAAGCUCUGCAGA